AGUGAACGCUGGCGGCAGGCCUAACACAUGCAAGUCGAACGGCAGCACAGCAGUAGCAAUACUGUGGGUGGCGAGUGGCGGACGGGUGAGGAAUACAUCGGAAUCUGCCUAGUCGUGGGGGAUAACGUAGGGAAACUUACGCUAAUACCGCAUACGACCUACGGGUGAAAGCGGGGGAUCGCAAGACCUCGCGCGAUUAGAUGAGCCGAUGUCCGAUUAGCUAGUUGGCGGGGUAAUGGCCCACCAAGGCGACGAUCCAUAGCUGGUCUGAGAGGACGACCAGCCACACUGGGACUGAGACACGGCCCAGACUCCUACGGGAGGCAGCAGUGGGGGAAUCUUGGACAAUGGGCGCAAGCCUGAUCCAGCCAUGCCGCGUGAGUGAAGAAGGCCUUAGGGUUGUAAAACUCUUUCGCCGGUGAAGAUAAUGACGGUAACCGGAGAAGAAGCCCCGGCUAACUUCGUGCCAGCAGCCGCGGUAAU
RNAcentral lists this ribosomal RNA (483 nucleotides) under uncultured bacterium. RNAcentral describes it as "bacterial SSU rRNA". It matches the Rfam family "Bacterial small subunit ribosomal RNA", at positions 29 to 524 of the family's 1533-position model. The record is from RNAcentral.